UACGUAGGGUGCAAGCGUUAAUCGGAAUUACUGGGCGUAAAGCGUGCGUAGGCGGAUCGUUAAGUCGGGGGUGAAAUCCUGGAGCUCAACUCCAGAACUGCCUUCGAUACUGGCGAUCUAGAGUCCGGAAGAGGUGAGUGGAACUCCUAGUGUAGAGGUGGAAUUCGUAGAUAUUAGGAAGAACACCAGUGGCGAAGGCGGCUCACUGGUCCGGUACUGACGCUGAGGUGCGAAAGCGUGGGGAGCAAACAGG
Molecule: ribosomal RNA, 253 nt
Filed under: uncultured bacterium
Lineage: Bacteria
Description: partial 16S ribosomal RNA
Rfam family: Bacterial small subunit ribosomal RNA
Source: RNAcentral